GGGGAUAUAGUUUGAUUGGUAAAACUGCGAUUUUGCGUAUCGUUAAUUCGGGAUCGACUCCUGAUAUCUCCA
This is a non-coding RNA of Metarhizium robertsii ARSEF 23, 72 nucleotides long. The record is from Rfam. NCBI's taxonomy places the organism in Eukaryota, Fungi, Ascomycota, Sordariomycetes, Hypocreales, Clavicipitaceae.